RNAcentral lists this ribosomal RNA (550 nucleotides) under uncultured bacterium. RNAcentral describes it as "partial 16S ribosomal RNA". It matches the Rfam family "Bacterial small subunit ribosomal RNA", at positions 355 to 895 of the family's 1533-position model. The record is from RNAcentral.
UGGGGAAUUCUGGACAAUGGGCGAAAGCCUGAUCCAGCAAUGCCGCGUGUGUGAAGAAGGCCUUCGGGUUGUAAAGCACUUUUGUCCGGAAAGAAAAUCCUUGGCUCUAAUACAGUCGGGGGAUGACGGUACCGGAAGAAUAAGCACCGGCUAACUACGUGCCAGCAGCCGCGGUAAUACGUAGGGUGCAAGCGUUAAUCGGAAUUACUGGGCGUAAAGCGUGCGCAGGCGGUUUGCUAAGACCGAUGUGAAAUCCCCGGGCUCAACCUGGGAACUGCAUUGGUGACUGGCAGGCUAGAGUAUGGCAGAGGGGGGUAGAAUUCCACGUGUAGCAGUGAAAUGCGUAGAGAUGUGGAGGAAUACCGAUGGCGAAGGCAGCCCCCUGGGCCAAUACUGACGCUCAUGCACGAAAGCGUGGGGAGCAAACAGGAUUAGAUACCCUGGUAGUCCACGCCCUAAAACGAUGUCAACUAGUUGUUGGGGAUUCAUUUCCUUAGUAACGUAGCUAACGCGUGAAGUUGACCGCCUGGGGGAGUACGGUCGCAAGAUU